Molecule: ribosomal RNA, 463 nt
Filed under: uncultured bacterium
Lineage: Bacteria
Description: bacterial SSU rRNA
Rfam family: Bacterial small subunit ribosomal RNA
Source: RNAcentral
CCAGACUCCUACGGGAGGCAGCAGUGAGGAAUAUUGGUCAAUGGGCGAGAGCCUGAACCAGCCAAGUCGCGUGAGGGAAGACGGUCCUAUGGAUUGUAAACCUCUUUUGCCGGGGAGCAAAAAGCGGUACGCGUACCGCAUCGAGAGUACCCGGAGAAAAAGCAUCGGCUAACUCCGUGCCAGCAGCCGCGGUAAUACGGAGGAUGCGAGCGUUGUCCGGAAUUACUGGGUGUAAAGGGAGCGUAGGCGGGCGAGAAAGUUGAAUGUUAAAUCUACCGGCUUAACUGGUAGCUGCGUUCAAAACUUCUUGUCUUGAGUGAAGUAGAGGCAGGCGGAAUUCCUAGUGUAGCGGUGAAAUGCGUAGAUAUUAGGAGGAACACCAGUGGCGAAGGCGGCCUGCUGGGCUUUAACUGACGCUGAGGCUCGAAAGCGUGGGGAGCAAACAGGAUUAGAUACCCCGGUA